RNAcentral lists this ribosomal RNA (386 nucleotides) under uncultured bacterium. RNAcentral describes it as "bacterial SSU rRNA". It matches the Rfam family "Bacterial small subunit ribosomal RNA", at positions 29 to 416 of the family's 1533-position model. The record is from RNAcentral.
AUUGAACGCUGGCGGCAUGCCUUACACAUGCAAGUCGAACGGCAGCACGGGAGCAAUCCUGGUGGCGAGUGGCGAACGGGUGAGUAAUAUAUCGGAACGUGCCCAGUCGUGGGGGAUAACGUAGCGAAAGCUACGCUAAUACCGCAUACGAUCUAUGGAUGAAAGCGGGGGAUCGCAAGACCUCGCGCGAUUGGAGCGGCCGAUAUCAGAUUAGGUAGUUGGUGAGGUAAAGGCUCACCAAGCCAACGAUCUGUAGCUGGUCUGAGAGGACGACCAGCCACACUGGGACUGAGACACGGCCCAGACUCCAACGGGAGGCAGCAGUGGGGAAUUUUGGACAAUGGGCGCAAGCCUGAUCCAGCAAUGCCGCGUGCAGGAUGAAGGCC